CCUACGGGUGGCUGCAGUAAGGAAUAUUGGUCAAUGGACGGAAGUCUGAACCAGCCAUCCCGCGUGCAGGAAGAAGGUCCUAUGGAUUGUAAACUGCUUUUAGCAGAGACGAAACGCCUUCAUUUAUGGGGGUUUGACGGUAUCUGCGGAAUAAGCACCGGCUAACUCCGUGCCAGCAGCCGCGGUAAUACGGAGGGUGCAAGCGUUAUCCGGAAUAAAGGGGUUUUAAGGGGGGGAUUAAGGGGGAUGAGAAAGCCUGUAGCUUAACUACAGAAUUGCCAUUGAUACUGAUUUUCUUGAAUUGGGUUGAGGUUAGCGGAAUGUGACAUGUAACGGUGAAAUGUUUAGAUAUGUCACGGAACACCGAUUGCGAAGGCAGCUAGCUGGGCCUUGAUUGACGCUGAGGCACGAAAGCGUGGGUAGCGAACAGGAUUAGAUACCCUUGUAGUC
RNAcentral lists this ribosomal RNA (450 nucleotides) under uncultured bacterium. Its description in RNAcentral is "partial 16S ribosomal RNA". It matches the Rfam family "Bacterial small subunit ribosomal RNA", at positions 338 to 795 of the family's 1533-position model. The record is from RNAcentral.